This 460-nucleotide ribosomal RNA is filed under the name uncultured bacterium. RNAcentral's name for it is "partial 16S ribosomal RNA". It matches the Rfam family "Bacterial small subunit ribosomal RNA", at positions 338 to 795 of the family's 1533-position model. The record is from RNAcentral.
CCUACGGGUGGCUGCAGUGAGGAAUAUUGGUCAAUGGCCGAGAGGCUGAACCAGCCAAGUCGCGUGAGGGAAUAAGGCCCUACGGGUCGUAAACCUCUUUUGCCGGGGAGCAAGGGCGGGGACGUGUCCCGGCCCGGAGAGUACCCGGAGAAAAAGCAUCGGCUAACUCCGUACCAGCAGCCGCGGUAAGACGGGGGAUGCAAGCGUUAUCCGGAUUUAUUGGGUUUAAGGGGUGCGUAGGCGGGCUUUUAAGUCAGUGGUCAAAUUGAGGGGCUCAACCCCUUCCCGCCAUUGAAACUGGCGCUCUUGAGUGGAAGAGAAGUAUGCGGAAUGCGUGGUGUAGCGGUGAAAUGCAUAGAUAUCACGCAGAACCCCGAUUGCGAAGGCAGCAUGCCGGCUUCCGACUGACGCUGAAGCACGAAAGCGUGGGGAUCGAACAGGAUUAGAUACCCGGGUAGUC